AGGCCAUGUCAUCGUAUUGGGCUCAUCAAAAGGGACGCGCGGGCGUGCGAGAAUCAGGAUUGGGGGAGGAACGUCAACGCUAAAAUAUACGCGGUGGCAGGCUGUUUUUUACGUCGCUAAAAAAUUAGGAAAGGUUUGGGUGGACUGUUGGAGUUCGUUUUUUAUUUUUUUCUUCCUUAAAGGAUAUUGGGGGUAAGAUUAGUAGCCUUUUGGAGUUGCUCUAAAAAAGCUGAAAGAUAAGCAACCACCACCGUGCAAGGUAAGUAUAUUAUUCCAUGUCUUAUUUUACCAAUAAUAAUAAUAUUUUUGACAUUAUAUAUCCAAACCGAUUGAACCAGACGAUGAUGGUGAUGAUCGGCUUUUCCGGAAUGAUAC
This 375-nucleotide long non-coding RNA is filed under the name Setaria viridis. RNAcentral's name for it is "long non-coding RNA (SVIR_LNC003521)". Lineage: Eukaryota; Viridiplantae; Streptophyta; Magnoliopsida; Poales; Poaceae. The record is from RNAcentral.